GACGAACGCUGGCGGCGUGCCUAAUACAUGCAAGUCGAACGCAGUGGGGACGGGUGAGUAACACGUGGGUAACCUCCCAUCAGAGGGGAUAACACUUGGAAACAGGUGCUAAACCCAUACUGAUGGAUGGAGUCGCGGUGCAUUAGCUAGAUGGGGGGGUAACGGCUCACCAAGGCCACGAUGCAUAGCCGACCUGAGAGGUGGAGCGGCCACAUGGGGACUGAGACACGGCCCAGACUCCUACGGGAGGCAGCAGUAGGGAAUCUUCGGCAAUGGACGAAAGUCUGACCGAGCAACGCCGCGUGAGUGAAGAAGGCUUUCGGAUGGUAAAACUCUUUUGUUAGGGAAGCGGUAUCUAACCAGAAAGCAACGGCUAACUCCGUGCCAGCAGCCGCGGUAAUUC
This 403-nucleotide ribosomal RNA is filed under the name uncultured bacterium. RNAcentral's name for it is "partial 16S ribosomal RNA". It matches the Rfam family "Bacterial small subunit ribosomal RNA", at positions 28 to 526 of the family's 1533-position model. The record is from RNAcentral.